UCAUACGCCUGCUCUUUUUUAAAAUAGCCAAUCAGAAUUAGCUUAGACUGUGCAGUCCAACCCUAGCCAAUAGGGGAAUGAUACAGCAGUAGAGGUUACCUGCAUCAGGAAUAAGAACCUCGUCCCCUCCUCAGUACGGGUGUGCUCUCGCCAUUGUUCCACCUGCAAGGAGCACUCUUUCUGCAGAAGAUAAAAAUUGUCUUGCUGAGAAAAUUAAAUUUAUAUUCAAGCGCUAUUUCUUUGCAGGACCAGGGAACAAGUAUUUUGCAUUUCUAACAAUUUGGUGGCCCGUACGGGGACCUAUUCUCCUCUGGGGGUGGUCUCCAGUCUUCUCUCAUAAGGAGGCGCCCUGCUGCCUCAUUGUGGUGACCUCAGGGGUGAGGAACUGAAACCCUGCUGUGUUGAAUAAACCCGAACUCUCAGCAAGGCGGAAAGAAACGGGCUGGUGACCUGGAGUAAAGGAUCCUCACGUACCUCGUGGACCAGACAACUUCCUGCACAAGCCAAGGAAGGAAACACUGGAGGAAAUGGUUGGAACUGCUCCUGGACACAGUUUCUCACUUUCAAAUCCAAUCCUCAAGUAACUCUAACACUCAGCCAAAAUAGCUUCCCGACCCUCUUCCCCUUUGUCCUUUCUGUCCUCAUCAUUUUGAGAACCAGCAUGGCCUCCUGGAACUCUAUUUUGUUUAAUUACUCACCUACGUUAUGCAUAAAAGAAGGAAGAUCUAAUAAACUGACUCAGCAAAUAAUAA
Molecule: non-coding RNA, 752 nt
Organism: Macaca mulatta (Rhesus monkey)
Lineage: Eukaryota; Metazoa; Chordata; Mammalia; Primates; Cercopithecidae
Source: RefSeq, a predicted model, not a curated record